Molecule: ribosomal RNA, 253 nt
Filed under: uncultured bacterium
Lineage: Bacteria
Description: partial 16S ribosomal RNA
Rfam family: Bacterial small subunit ribosomal RNA
Source: RNAcentral
UACGUAGGGUGCAAGCGUUGUCCGGAAUUAUUGGGCGUAAAGAGCUCGUAGGCGGUCUGUCGCGUCGGCUGUGAAAACUCGGGGCUCAACUCCGAGCUUGCAGUCGAUACGGGCAGGCUAGAGUUCGGCAGGGGAGACUGGAAUUCCUGGUGUAGCGGUGAAAUGCGCAGAUAUCAGGAGGAACACCAGUGGCGAAGGCGGGUCUCUGGGCCGAUACUGACGCUGAGGAGCGAAAGCGUGGGGAGCGAACAGG